UAUGAAUUGAAGUCCGGUCAGACCAAGAUGGAUCGGUAGGUUAGGUUAAGAUGUUCAGUGUUCAGUGGUAAACCUUGAGAUUUCCGACGAAGGGUGAAAAACGUAUAUACACUCUCACGUAAAGGCGAGCCACCGCGCCAUUGCCUCCAGCAUUGAGUAGGGGCGAAGGAUUUAAGGGGCGGGGAGGGGCGCCCGCCCUCCCGAACUUUUCGGUCAGUAGUGUUAUAUAUAUACGUUUCGUAUGGGAUUUUGUAGGUAUAUACGUUUUCGACCCCCCGGUUUUAUAAAAAAGAAUUUAGGUAUAUACGUUUUCAACUCCCGGUUUUAAUUUUUUUAUUUAUAAAGCCUAAAUAAAAUAUUUAAUUAGUCCAAAUAUUAUAGCCCAAAUCAUUAUAUUUGGUAGAAUACUAGAAUGUAUAUUAUAUAACCCAAAUCAAAUCAUUAUAUAGCUCAACUUAAAAGCCCACCCUAUCAAAAAAAACCCAAAUUCGUUUACUUUGGGACAUCGACCAGAAGAACAGAAGUCACAAGCCAGAACUGCAGGGGGGGGGGGAACGAAGGUUCUAGAACUGUUCGACUUCAGCUUCUUGUUCGAGAACAGAAGCCAAAACAUUGCUCGUUGUUGUGGUCUUGUACUCUUGUUCGACUUCUUCAAUCUUCAUAAGGUUAAAGGGAUUGGAUGGGAGAGGAUGAUGUGGCGCUGAGCUAGCAGUCUGGGAUCAUGGAUGAAAGAUGAGUAUAACUAGUGGCCUAAACACCAUUUGUAGCGAUUGCGAGAGACCAAGAUAAAAGAGAUGGUUUCCAAUCAGUUAACCAUGAUCAAAAAAGGAUCGCACAAGAAGGUGUGGUUGAAGUUUUCCAAAUACGUGGACUUGAAUCAAGAUUGGUAUAAUUAAAUUGUAUUUUUUACAUUUGUUUAUUUAGUUUAUGUAACCGGUAUUGUACUAGUAGGAUUUUCCACAAAUAACGAAGUCUCGUUCUUAUUUAUUUUAUUAAUAUUU
RNAcentral lists this long non-coding RNA (1001 nucleotides) under Helianthus annuus (common sunflower). RNAcentral's name for it is "hypothetical non coding rna". Lineage: Eukaryota; Viridiplantae; Streptophyta; Magnoliopsida; Asterales; Asteraceae. The record is from RNAcentral.